UUUUUGGUAAAAUAGCUUUAUCCUCUGUCAGAACACAAACCAACAAACUUUGAGAGGGGAGGGAGGAAACAGUCUAGCUCACGGCUCACUUAGGAGGGGGGAUGAGAUUAGAAAGUUUCAACCCACUGCUUGUGCAGCUGAGAUAAAGUCAAGACCCUAGCACCCACUUAUAAAUAUCUCGUUAUAUUAAAAAAGAAUAUUCCCAGGGCCCACCUGGCUCCGCUCCUGCACAGAAAGGAUUCAUCUUCACUUUGUGACCUCACAGGUGAGGGUCAUGUGUUCCAGGCUCUCAUACUGGCUGCUCACUCCGUAGAAGCC
This 318-nucleotide small RNA is filed under the name Pongo abelii (Sumatran orangutan). RNAcentral's name for it is "processed transcript". Lineage: Eukaryota; Metazoa; Chordata; Mammalia; Primates; Hominidae. The record is from RNAcentral.